AAAAGCUCCCUACUUGCAUAAACACCUUUAGGCCUUUACCUUGAUAAACACACGAUUAUAGUAGCAACCUGUAGUGAAAAACUAAUCGAAAAGCCUAAGGAGAGCAAUAAUGAGGUUAAAGAAAUUUUAGAUGAGAAAAGAAUAGAGACCCUAAAAACUAUCUGCACCAAUCUGCCUCUAUCCAAGGUCCCGCACAAAAAUAGAAUGCUAAAGGACCAUAAAACGAACAAAA
RNAcentral lists this long non-coding RNA (232 nucleotides) under Lathyrus oleraceus (garden pea). Its description in RNAcentral is "Pisum sativum (pea) long non-coding RNA (PSAT_LNC006626)". The record is from RNAcentral. Lineage: Eukaryota; Viridiplantae; Streptophyta; Magnoliopsida; Fabales; Fabaceae.